RNAcentral lists this ribosomal RNA (238 nucleotides) under uncultured bacterium. Its description in RNAcentral is "partial 16S ribosomal RNA". It matches the Rfam family "Bacterial small subunit ribosomal RNA", at positions 96 to 334 of the family's 1533-position model. The record is from RNAcentral.
UGGCGGACGGGUGAGUAACGCGUGGGUAACCUGCCUUGUACUGGGGGACAACAGUUGGAAACGACUGCUAAUACCGCAUAAGCGCACAGUACCGCAUGGUACAGUGUGAAAAACUCCGGUGGUGUGAGAUGGAUCCGCGUCUGAUUAGCCAGUUGGCGGGGUAACGGCCCACCAAAGCGACGAUCAGUAGCCGACCUGAGAGGGUGACCGGCCACAUUGGGACUGAGACACGGCCCAA